This 844-nucleotide long non-coding RNA is filed under the name Gouania willdenowi (blunt-snouted clingfish). RNAcentral describes it as "lncRNA (ENSGWIG00000010721.1)". The record is from RNAcentral. Lineage: Eukaryota; Metazoa; Chordata; Actinopteri; Blenniiformes; Gobiesocidae.
GUUUGUUUUCCACACAGAUCAGUAGAAGUAGCAGUAGAACACAGUAGAACACAGUAGAACACAGUAGAACACAUCAGAGAACACAGUAGAACACAGUAGAACACAGUAGAACACAGUAGAACACAUCAGAGAACACAGUAGAACACAGUAGAACACAGUAGAACACAGUAGAACACAUCAGAGAACACAGUAGAACACAUCAGAGAACACAGUAGAACACAGUAGAACACAGCUGGAACAGAGAGGAAUGAGCAGCAGACAGCAGGAUGAUGAUACUUUAGGAGAAAAAGAGGCCUGUGCAUCUGAUGAAGCACCACAGAAGAAGAAGAAGAUCAUUUAUUUCUCUAGUGGAGAAACUUUGAUGGAGGAAGACAGUGAUGAAGAGGAGGAUGAGGAAGAUGAAGGAGAACCAGCAGAGAAGGCGUCUUUGAGGAGAGACGCCGUGCUGAUUGGACGAGCUUCACUGCUCAGUGUUGAUUUCCUGGGUCAGAGGUUAUCAGCAGCGUUUGGACUGAAUGCAGCUAAAUACCAGUACGUUAUAGAACAGUACCAUCAGAACCAUCACAUGAGAAGAAGGAAAAACACAAAGAGCCUCUCAGAAGGACAGGAGGAGAUCCAGAUCUCUACUGGGAUCAGACCCUCACAUUAUGGUUCUACUGGUUCUACUGCUUCUAUUGGUUCUACUGGUUCUGUUGGUGCUACUGCUUCUACUGGUUCUAUUGGUGCUACUGCUUCUACUGUUUCUACUGGUGCUACUGGUGCUCAGGAGAACCAGAACCAUCAACACAUGGACAGAAUGGAAGGAACACACAACAGAGGAUACCAACCAGAGGAUGACGUCUGC